CUCUUUUACCAAGCCCGACUGAGUCUGCGGUAGUUUGCAGAGCUGCGGCGUGGACCUCGACUGUAAUAGGAGGCAACCAGUGGCAGUCAAGUCCCGCUGUCGUCUUUGCCGCGCUGCAGUUAUACUCUGGGAAAAAAUGCAGCGAGACAGCAGCGCGCCGCUGAAGACCCGCUCAUUAAUUUAUGAAUGGCCUGCAGGCCUGGAGGCACGCGCCGCUCCGCUCAUCCCCGCCGCUGACCAAUGCCAUCGGGCGCCUCGGGCCCUGCUGCUCUCGCACGUCCACGCCAGGCAAUUUCCACACCGUUCCGCAUAAUUCUAGAAGCCUCUCUCUCUCUCUCUCUUUCUCUCUCUCUCGCUUGAGUGCUACGCCACAUUGUAUCUCACGCCUGUUUUUUUCCUUCUGUAAUGGACAUGAGCCUGAUGAAGUGUU
Molecule: long non-coding RNA, 430 nt
Organism: Alosa alosa (allis shad)
Lineage: Eukaryota; Metazoa; Chordata; Actinopteri; Clupeiformes; Clupeidae
Exons: 3
Source: RefSeq, a predicted model, not a curated record